GAUCUCGCGAGAGGCGAGGCCAAAACCCUGCCUCGCUAGCGCAGGGAGAAGUCGCACCAGUCGGAGCGCAGAGGGACACGCAGACAUUUCAGCAGAGGCCUCAAAGGCAGAACAAAAUAGUGCAAGGAGCCGCACAUCCGCACAGUGCUGAGACCCUGCCCAGGACAAGCUUGAUCCUGGCACCCAAGUGACAACCUGCAUUGAAAAGGCGGAACUUGGCUCUCCUGCCCUGCCAGCUGUAAGAGCUUGAAAGCAAAGCUAUGGGGGGAAUGUCUUUCAUUUCCCCCUGGAAGCUGGGAGGACGUUCAGCUUAGCAUUGCCAACUGUGUAAUGUGGACUUGCCUCUAAAAGAAGCCUUUUUCCUUGGAUGUCUUUCAGGCCGCAGUAUUCCCUUUGGCACCCCCACCCACCUGGAACAAAGCCUGAUGUAAAGUCUGGGUGCGACUCAGACCGGCCUGGGAAAGAAUUUAUUUAAUAAAUGGUGGAAAGUGGCUUC
Molecule: long non-coding RNA, 496 nt
Filed under: Homo sapiens (human)
Lineage: Eukaryota; Metazoa; Chordata; Mammalia; Primates; Hominidae
Description: HSALNT0305439
Source: RNAcentral